GACGAACCGUGCGAACGUUGUUCGGAAUCACUGGGCUUAAAGGGCGCGUAGGCGGGCCAUCAAGUCUGGGGUGAAAUCUUUCGGCUUAACCGGAAAAUUGCCUGGGAUACUGAUGGUCUGGAGGGUGGUAGGGGCAGGUGGAACUUCCGGUGGAGCGGUGGAAUGCGUUGAUAUCGGAAGGAACGCCGGUGGCGAAAGCGACCUGCUGGACCACUACUGACGCUGAGGCGCGAAAGCCAGGGGAGCGAACGGG
RNAcentral lists this ribosomal RNA (253 nucleotides) under uncultured bacterium. RNAcentral's name for it is "partial 16S ribosomal RNA". It matches the Rfam family "Bacterial small subunit ribosomal RNA", at positions 524 to 776 of the family's 1533-position model. The record is from RNAcentral.